RNAcentral lists this long non-coding RNA (218 nucleotides) under Urocitellus parryii (Arctic ground squirrel). RNAcentral describes it as "lncRNA (ENSUPAG00010013574.1)". The record is from RNAcentral. Lineage: Eukaryota; Metazoa; Chordata; Mammalia; Rodentia; Sciuridae.
CUUUAGUGUUCCAUGGCUGAGUCCGAGUGCACUGCAAGCAAUGCCUAUUUUUUUUUUUUUUUCACAGAUUCAUCAUUUGUUGGCAGCCCUUGGUGGGAAGAGGAUGGCUUGGGCUCUGAGAGUCAAAGAAGUGGAGAUGGGGCCUGUGCACCUGUCAGGAAGAUCUGGAGGCCUAGGUGGAUGAAGCAGGUGAGGAUCCAGAGCAGGGCUGAGGGAAC